Molecule: ribosomal RNA, 409 nt
Filed under: Candidatus Levyibacteriota bacterium
Lineage: Bacteria; Candidatus Levyibacteriota
Description: bacterial SSU rRNA
Rfam family: Bacterial small subunit ribosomal RNA
Source: RNAcentral
UUUUUUGAGAGUUUGAUCCUGGCUCAGGAUGAACGCUGGCGGCGUGCCUAAGGCAUGCAAGUCAAGGGGGUCGCAAGAUAAACCGGCAGACGGGUGAGUAAUAUAUAGGAAUCUACCCUUCAAUGGACCAUAGCUCAUCGAAAGAUGGGGUAAUAGUCCAUGGCACUUGUGCUUCGCACAAGAACUACUAACAACAAACAACUAACAGCUAACUAUUUUGUUAGAAGUUAGAAGUCAGAAGUUAUUUGUUCUCGUGCGGAGCAUGAAUUAAAGAUCUUAACUGAUCGUUGAAGGAGGAGCCUAUAUCCUAUCAGCUAGUUGGCGGGGUAAAAGCCCACCAAGGCAAUGACGGGUAGCUGGACUGAGAGGUCGGUCAGCCACAACUGCACUGAGACACGGGCAGUACACC